RNAcentral lists this ribosomal RNA (429 nucleotides) under bacterium. RNAcentral describes it as "partial 16S ribosomal RNA". It matches the Rfam family "Bacterial small subunit ribosomal RNA", at positions 355 to 776 of the family's 1533-position model. The record is from RNAcentral. RNAcentral also lists the same sequence under 1 other name.
UAGGGAAUCUUCCACAAUGGACGCAAGUCUGAUGGAGCAACGCCGCGUGAGUGAAGAAGGUUUUCGGAUCGUAAAGCUCUGUUGUUGGUGAAGAAGGAUAGAGGCAGUAACUGGUCUUUAUUUGACGGUAAUCAACCAGAAAGUCACGGCUAACUACGUGCCAGCAGCCGCGGUAAUACGUAGGUGGCAAGCGUUGUCCGGAUUUAUUGGGCGUAAAGCGAGCGCAGGCGGACUGAUAAGUCUGAUGUGAAAGCCCACGGCUCAACCGUGGAACUGCAUCGGAAACUGUCAUUCUUGAGUGCAGAAGAGGAGAGUGGAAUUCCAUGUGUAGCGGUGGAAUGCGUAGAUAUAUGGAAGAACACCAGUGGCGAAGGCGGCUCUCUGGUCUGCAACUGACGCUGAGGCUCGAAAGCAUGGGUAGCGAACAGG